This 544-nucleotide long non-coding RNA is filed under the name Homo sapiens (human). RNAcentral's name for it is "OSBPL10 antisense RNA 1 (OSBPL10-AS1)". The record is from RNAcentral. Lineage: Eukaryota; Metazoa; Chordata; Mammalia; Primates; Hominidae.
CUCCCUUUUGCCUCUUCUGGAUUUCAGGUAACAAAGCACCACAUUAGAUACUGAAGAUAGAAAUUUGCUUAAGAUAUGGUCUCAGCAUUCAACAGGCUGGUGUUCUGGUUGAGAAGGAGUACAUGGAUCUUUCUUUCUCCUACCCCUGGAGACUAGUUCAAGCGAUUCUCCUGCCUCAGCCUCUCAAGUAGCUGGGACUACAGUAUCCUGCAUAAAACUGCAUUAAAAACCAGUAACAUCAGACCCGGGAUGGGGACGGAAGGUCCAAAUCAGAACCUCCAUGGAAUGCAUCUCUACAUAUUUUCACAUCUGUUUUCAAGCAAGGAGCAAGACCAGCAAGAAAGUGAGGACUUCCUCUGAUGCACAAACCUGGGAUGUGCUGUGCAAAUCAGCUACCUGGGCUUCCCACCUGUGGAUGCUCACUGACCUGGGGCCGCACCAGGUGAUUUCAGGACUUCCUCAGAGAAAACCCAGGCAAGACACCAGCAACAGAGCUACCCUGAUAAUUAUUAAAUUAGCUCUAUGUGGAGAAGCCAUAUUUGAA